CUGUACUUGGUGUUACUGCGAAGGGGGGACGGAGAAGGCUAUGUUGGCCGGGCGACGGUUGUCCCGGUUUAAGCGUGUAGGCUGGUUUUCCAGGCAAAUCCGGAAAACUAAGGCUGAGGCGUGAUGACGAGGCACUACGGUGCUGAAGCAACAAAUGCCCUGCUUCCAGGAAAAGCCUCUAAGCAUCAGGUAACAUCAAAUCGUACCCCAAACCGACACAGGUGGUCAGGUAGAGAAUACCAAGGCGCUUGAGAGAACUCGGGUGAAGGAACUAGGCAAAAUGGUGCCGUAACUUCGGGAGAAGGCACGCUGAUAUGUAGGUGAAGCGACUUGCUCGUGGAGCUGAAAUCAGUCGAAGAUACCAGCUGGCUGCAACUGUUUAUUAAAAACACAGCACUGUGCAAACACGAAAGUGGACGUAUACGGUGUGACGCCUGCCCGGUGCCGGAAGGUUAAUUGAUGGGGUCAGCGCAAGCGAAGCUCUUGAUCGAAGCCCCGGUAAACGGCGGCCGUAACUAUAACGGUCCUAAGGUAGCGAAAUUCCUUGUCGGGUAAGUUCCGACCUGCACGAAUGGCGUAAUGAUGGCCAGGCUGUCUCCACCCGAGACUCAGUGAAAUUGAACUCGCUGUGAAGAUGCAGUGUACCCGCGGCAAGACGGAAAGACCCCGUGAACCUUUACUAUAGCUUGACACUGAACAUUGAGCCUUGAUGUGUAGGAUAGGUGGGAGGCUUUGAAGUGUGGACGCCAGUCUGCAUGGAGCCGACCUUGAAAUACCACCCUUUAAUGUUUGAUGUUCUAACGUUGACCCGUGAUCCGGGUUGCGGACAGUGUCUGGUGGGUAGUUUGACUGGGGCGGUCUCCUCCUAAAGAGUAACGGAGGAGCACGAAGGUUGGCUAAUCCUGGUCGGACAUCAGGAGGUUAGUGCAAUGGCAUAAGCCAGCUUGACUGCGAGCGUGACGGCGCGAGCAGGUGCGAAAGCAGGUCAUAGUGAUCCGGUGGUUCUGAAUGGAAGGGCCAUCGCUCAACGGAUAAAAGGUACUCCGGGGAUAACAGGCUGAUACCGCCCAAGAGUUCAUAUCGACGGCGGUGUUUGGCACCUCGAUGUCGGCUCAUCACAUCCUGGGGCUGAAGUAGGUCCCAAGGGUAUGGCUGUUCGCCAUUUAAAGUGGUACGCGAGCUGGGUUUAGAACGUCGUGAGACAGUUCGGUCCCUAUCUGCCGUGGGCGCUGGAGAACUGAGGGGGGCUGCUCCUAGUACGAGAGGACCGGAGUGGACGCAUCACUGGUGUUCGGGUUGUCAUGCCAAUGGCACUGCCCGGUAGCUAAAUGCGGAAGAGAUAAGUGCUGAAAGCAUCUAAGCACGAAACUUGCCCCGAGAUGAGUUCUCCCUGACUCCUUGAGAGUCCUGAAGGAACGUUGAAGACGACGACGUUGAUAGGCCGGGUGUGUAAGCGCAGCGAUGCGUUGAGCUAACCGGUACUAAUGAACCGUGAGG
RNAcentral lists this ribosomal RNA (1497 nucleotides) under Escherichia coli. RNAcentral describes it as "partial 23S ribosomal RNA". It matches the Rfam family "Bacterial large subunit ribosomal RNA", at positions 1439 to 2915 of the family's 2925-position model. The record is from RNAcentral. Lineage: Bacteria; Pseudomonadati; Pseudomonadota; Gammaproteobacteria; Enterobacterales; Enterobacteriaceae.